RNAcentral lists this ribosomal RNA (272 nucleotides) under unidentified marine archaeon p712-24. RNAcentral describes it as "partial 16S ribosomal RNA". It matches the Rfam family "Archaeal small subunit ribosomal RNA", at positions 477 to 749 of the family's 1478-position model. The record is from RNAcentral.
CAGCACCUCAAGUGGUCAGGAGGAUUAUUGGGCCUAAAGCAUCCGUAGCCUGUUCUAUAAGUUUGCGGUUAAAUCUAUACGCUCAACGUAUAGGCUGCCGUAAAUACUGUAGAACUAGGGAGUGGGAGAGGUAGACGGUACUCGAUAGGAAGGGGUAAAAUCCUUUGAUCUAUUGAUGACCACCUGUGGCGAAGGCGGUCUACCAGAACACGUUCGACGGUGAGGGAUGAAAGCUGGGGGAGCAAACCGGAUUAGAUACCCGGGUAGUCCCA